This 303-nucleotide ribosomal RNA is filed under the name uncultured bacterium. RNAcentral describes it as "partial 16S ribosomal RNA". It matches the Rfam family "Bacterial small subunit ribosomal RNA", at positions 507 to 807 of the family's 1533-position model. The record is from RNAcentral.
AGCAGUCGCCGCGGGAAUACAGAGGGUGCGAGCGUUAAUCGGAUUUACUGGGCGUAAAGCGUGUGUAGGUUGUUGUUCAAGUCAGUUGUGAAAUCCCUGGGCUCAACCUGGGAACUGCUUCUGAGACUGAACGACUAGAGUACGGUAGAGGGUGGUGGAAUUUCCGGUGUAGCGGUGAAAUGCGUAGAUAUCGGAAGGAACAUCAAUGGCGAAGGCAGCCACCUGGGCCUGUACUGACACUGAGACACGAAAGCGUGGGGAUCAAACAGGAUUAGAGACCCGUGUAGUCCCUGUCUCUUAUAC